ACUGCUCAGUAACACGUGGACAACCUACCCUGAGGUCGGGGAUAAACCCGGGAAACUGGGUAUAAUACCCGAUAGAUCUAGAUCGCUGGAAUGCUUUUAGGUCUAAAGUUCCGACGCCUCAGGAUGGGUCUGCGGCCUAUCAGGGUAGUAGUGGGUGUAAAGUACCUACUAGCCCACGACGGGCACGGGUUGUGAGAGCAAGAGCCCGGAGAUGGAUUCUGAGACACGAAUCCAGGCCCUACGGGGUGCAGCAGGCGCGAAACCUUUACAAUGCUGGCAACAGCGAUAAGGGGACCUCGAGUGCUACGAUACAAUCGUGGCUGUCUAGUUGCCUAAAAGCAAUUGAUAGCAAGGGCCGGGCAAGACCGGUGCCAGCCGCCGCGGUAACACCGGCGGCUCGAGUGGUAACCGCUAUUAUUGGGUCUAAAGGGUCUGUAGCCGGCUUAGUUAGUCUCUUGAGAAAUCUGGCCGCUCAACGGUCAGGCGUUCAGGGGAUACUGCUAAAGCUCGAGACCGGGAGAGGUGAGAGGUACUUCAGGGGUAGGGGUGAAAUCUUGUAAUCCUUGAAGGACCACCAGUGGCGAAGGCGUCUCACCAGAACGGAUCUGACGGCAAGGGACGAAAGCUAGGGGCACGAACCGGAUUAGAUACCCGGGUAGUCCUAGCCGUAAACGAUACUCGCUAGGUGUCGGCCACGGUGCGACCGUGGUCGGUGCCGUAGGGAAGCCGUGAAGCGAGCCACCUGGGAAGUACGGCCGCAAGGCUGAAACUUAAAGGAAUUGGCGGGGGAGCAC
This 794-nucleotide ribosomal RNA is filed under the name uncultured archaeon. Its description in RNAcentral is "bacterial SSU rRNA". It matches the Rfam family "Archaeal small subunit ribosomal RNA", at positions 85 to 879 of the family's 1478-position model. The record is from RNAcentral.